CGCGGCCUAUCAGCUUGUUGGUGAGGUAACGGCUCACCAAGGCAUCGACGGGUAGCUGGUCUGAGAGGACGAUCAGCCACGCUGGGACUGAGACACGGCCCAGACUCCUACGGGAGGCAGCAGUAGGGAAUCUUGCGCAAUGGGCGAAAGCCUGACGCAGCAACGCCGCGUGGGGGAUGAAUGCCUUCGGGUUGUAAACCCCUUUCAGCAGGGACGAAAAUGACGGUACCUGCAGAGGAAGCUCCGGCCAACUACGUGCCAGCAGCCGCGGUAAUACGUAGGGAGCGAGCGUUGUCCGGAAUUAUUGGGCGUAAAGAGCUCGUAGGCGGUUCAGUAAGUCGGGUGUGAAAACUCAAGGCUCAACCUUGAGACGCCACUCGAUACUGCUGUGACUUGAGUCCGGUAGAGGAGUGUGGAAUUCCUGGUGUAGCGGUGAAAUGCGCAGAUAUCAGGAGGAACACCAGCGGCGAAGGCGGCACUCUGGGCCGGUACUGACGCUGAGGAGCGAAAGCAUGGGGAGCAAACAGGAUUAGAUACCCUGGUAGUCCAUGCCGUAAACGUUGGGCACUAGGUAUGGGAUCAUAUCAACGGAUUCCGUGCCGUAGCUAACGCAUUAAGUGCCCCGCCUGGGGAGUACGG
This 639-nucleotide ribosomal RNA is filed under the name uncultured Actinomycetes bacterium. Its description in RNAcentral is "bacterial SSU rRNA". It matches the Rfam family "Bacterial small subunit ribosomal RNA", at positions 232 to 885 of the family's 1533-position model. Lineage: Bacteria; Bacillati; Actinomycetota; Actinomycetes. The record is from RNAcentral.